This 479-nucleotide ribosomal RNA is filed under the name uncultured bacterium. Its description in RNAcentral is "bacterial SSU rRNA". It matches the Rfam family "Bacterial small subunit ribosomal RNA", at positions 328 to 793 of the family's 1533-position model. The record is from RNAcentral.
GCAGAGCACUCCUACGGGAGGCAGCAGUGGGGAAUAUUGGACAAUGGGCGAAAGCCUGAUCCAGCCAUGCCGCGUGUGUGAAGAAGGUCUUCGGAUUGUAAAGCACUUUAAGUGGGAGGAAGGGUUGUAGAUUAAUACUCUGCAAUUUUGACGUUACCGACAGAAUAAGCACCGGCUAACUCUGUGCCAGCAGCCGCGGUAAUACAGAGGGUGCAAGCGUUAAUCGGAAUUACUGGGCGUAAAGCGACGCGUAGGUGGUUCGUUAAGUUGGAUGUGAAAUCCCCGGGCUCAACCUGGGAACUGCAUUCAAAACUGUCGAGCUAGAGUAUGGUAGAGGGUGGUGGGAAUUUCCUGUGUAGCGGUGAAAUAGCGUAGAUAUAGGAAGGAACACCAGUGGCGAAGGCGACCACCUCGGACUGAUACUGACACUGAGGUGCGAAAGACGUGGGGAGGCAAACAGGAUUAGAUACCCUCGGUAG